UUGCUGGUAGCUCAGUAUGGAUAGAGCGCACUUUUUUCUAAGGUGAAGUCGCAGGUUCAAGUCCUGCCAGGCAAA
This 75-nucleotide transfer RNA is filed under the name Ottowia sp. oral taxon 894. RNAcentral describes it as "tRNA-Glu". It matches the Rfam family "tRNA". Rfam says of the family: Transfer RNA (tRNA) molecules are approximately 80 nucleotides in length. The record is from RNAcentral. Lineage: Bacteria; Pseudomonadati; Pseudomonadota; Betaproteobacteria; Burkholderiales; Comamonadaceae.